Molecule: long non-coding RNA, 644 nt
Filed under: Physcomitrium patens
Lineage: Eukaryota; Viridiplantae; Streptophyta; Bryopsida; Funariales; Funariaceae
Description: long non-coding RNA (PPAT_LNC011485)
Source: RNAcentral
AUAAUCUCUAAUUGUAAUACUACGCCUUCACAGCUUCUAGUACACAAUUACCCUCAUUCUAAUCACUGGAAUUCUUCACACAAGACUGCCAUUCACAUUACGGUAUUUCACACAAACAAAGACUCAUUCUCUCUGCUGAACUACAAUCAGAUUUUAGCAUUCAAUCUUUCUUCUUCUCAAAUAAUACCAAUCACAUUUCUAUUCUAUAAUUCACUUCACAAUAUUCAGAAACUCUCAAUCCUCUUAUUCAAAGAAAAUAACAAAGAAAAGAAAAGAGGUAGCACCAAGCUUACUCCAGCUUACAACUAUCACAGCAAUGGCAUUUUCUUCCCCUCUUCCAUCCUCCUUAUACUACCUUGAGAUAUCAACUCCUAAACUAUAGAUGAUAACUACUUUUCUUGACUAUUCAUCCAUUCUACCUACUGAAUCACAUUUUCACUAAUUAUCUAUCCUUGUUUAUACUAUACACUAGGUAUCUUCAUUUUGAAAAUAAUUACUUAUUCUACACAGUCCCACUCCUAACUAUGCAGCGUCCUCGCAAAUACUCAAUUGAUACCUAUCUAAAAAUUAUCUAACAAAAUUCUACAAAAAUUGUGAUCCCUCUGGCCUAUCUAAUUAAUCAACUACCACAAUAUUUGUUAUUG